This 5089-nucleotide long non-coding RNA is filed under the name Salmo salar (Atlantic salmon). Its description in RNAcentral is "lncRNA (ENSSSAG00000095435.1, ENSSSAG00000098265.1)". Lineage: Eukaryota; Metazoa; Chordata; Actinopteri; Salmoniformes; Salmonidae. The record is from RNAcentral.
CCUCUCUGAUUCAGAGGGGUUGGGUUAAAUGACUCCCGCACCUCUCUGAUUCAGAGGGGUUGGGUUAAAUGACUCCCGCACCGCUCUGAUUCAGAGGCGUUGGGUUAAAAGCGGAAGACACAUUUCGGUUGAGUGAAUUGUUGGGCAAAUGACUAGUUACCCCCUUUCCUUCCUGUUAGUAGAGGGGGGAAAACCUGAGUAUUACAAUCAAACCUGCUCUUGUCAUAAAUAAAAGUGCACAUUGUUUUGGUUGAAGAAACAAGAGGCCUAAUCCUGGAGUCAUAUUUCUGCAGUUUCUAACGUUCUGUCCAACACCGCUGAGCUACGAGUGCAUGUGGUUAAAACUGUCAGACGCAUGCAAACGCUCUGGGCCCAUAUUAACAAAGCGUGAGUAGGAGUGCUAGUCUAGGAUCCGGUCCCCCCUCUAAUUCAUAAUGGUUUAAAAGGUCUGGUCCCCCCUCCUAAUUCAUAAUGGUUUAAAAGGUCUGGUCCCCCCUCUAAUUCAUAAUGGUUUAAAAGGUCUGGUCCCCCCUCUAAUUCAUAAUGGUUUAAAAGGUCUGGUCCCCCCUCUAAUUCAUAAUGGUUUAAAAGGUCUGGUCCCCCCUCCUAAUUCAUAAUGGUUUAAAAGGUCUGGUCCCCCCUCCUAAUUCAUAAUGGUUUAAAAGGUCUGGUCCCCCCUCCUAAUUCAUAAUGGUUUAAAAGGUCUGGUCCCCCCUCUAAUUCAUAAUGGUUUAAAAGGUCUGGUCCCCCCUCUAAUUCAUAAUGGUUUAAAAGGUCUGGUCCCCCCUCUAAUUCAUAAUGGUUUAAAAGGUCUGGUCCCCCCUCUAAUUCAUAAUGGUUUAAAAGGUCUGGUCCCCCCUCCUAAUUCAUAAUGGUUUAAAAGGUCUGGUCCCCCCUCUAAUUCAUAAUGGUUUAAAAGGUCUGGUCCCCCCUCUAAUUCAUAAUGGUUUAAAAGGUCUGGUCCCCCCUCCUAAUUCAUAAUGGUUUAAAAGGUCUGGUCCCCCCUCCUAAUUCAUAAUGGUUUUAAAGGUCUGGUCCCCCCUCCUAAUUCAUAAUGGUUUAAAAGGCUAAACUGAUCUCAGAUCAGUACUCUGACACUGUGGAUAAGGGCCCUGUGCUCCUUUCAGCUCCUGCGUGUCCAGUUUGUCAUUAGGCCAAUAUUUAAUACCGAUAUACUACCAUGGUGUAGCUAUGACGACUUCACUAUGCAAAGCAAUGAGUUUAUUACUUUUGUUUUUGUUACUGCUGGUCACUCUUCCUCAACUGCUCCCUCCAAAAAAUGUCUUGCUCUCUCCAUCACAGAAGAAUAAGCUUCUCAACAUAUCAAUGUAUGGCUGCUAAACUCAACUGCUCACAUAAUUGAUUUGUGAAACUGGAAACAACCUGUAGAACUUACUCUGGCUGUCAUAACGUGAAGACAUCCUGUACUAGUCUGUGCUCUGUUUGAAAUAGAACCGCUUUAAAACGACUGCAGUGUAAAUGCCUAUAAUACAUUAGGUCUACCUGAACACAUUUUAAACGUUCUGCAAAAGUCUAAUGAAAUAAAUGAAUGGAAAUCUGUUUGUUGCUUUUCACUUUAUUUUUUCAUGAUAAAGUUAGAAUAAAAACAUCUUAUCAGCCUGAUAAGUCUCUUCCACAAAGUGAGACUCGAUCAUAAAUAAUAAACUUGUUUUGUAAUAAGUUAAGGUACUGUAUAUUCAUACAUUUAUGGAUAUUUAAGUCAUUUAUCUCUUAUCAAAGAGCUAAUCUCGGGGUAACCCAGAACUGAAGUCUGCUCGAUUAAAUUCUAGGUCCAUGAGAUGCUAGAACGAGGAGCUCCAUCCUCUCUGCAAGUUAUGGGCUGAAUGACUGCCCUUCCAAAAUUUGAAAAAAAUGCUAACACCUCGGAAGUUGUGAUUUGUCCAAAUAACCAGUGAUGGAAAAAACUAGGCACCAGAACUAUAGCUGCUCGUUAUCUAUCAGUGCUCAGAAUAGAAAGAUCUAUUGCACCAUUUUAUGUUUACAUAUUCUGCCUAUGAGAGAUUAUCAAAGAACAGGUUAUAAUGUGCUACAAAAAUACUGCAUAUAAUAGCUUUUCAAUAUAGCUUUUUCAGUAUAGAGACAGUCAUUAGAUGACAAAUCUAUACUCGCAAGGCCACAAUCAGACCAAAUACACAUAAUAUACAAAGUGUAUAAAACAUUAGGAAUAGCUGCUCUUUCCAUGACAGACUGACUAGGUGAAUGCUGUGAUCCCUUAUUGAUGUCACCUGUUAAAUCCAAAACCCACUUCACGUGGAGGAGACUGGUUAAAGAAGGAUUUUUAAGCCUUGAGACAAUUGAGGGAAGAAGAUAUUUACGCCGGUGUGGCCAUGAGGUGAGUGUGUAAGAUGGUGGACGGGGGGAAAAAUGUGAAAAGUGGAACAUGUUUUCAGUGAAUAUGGAGUGGUGGAUCACAGAACUUUUGGAAGAGCUAUAGAAGAAACUUGAACGUGACAUGAGAGUGAGGAUGAAUUAACCUCAAUGGCAGGUGCCGUGAAGACCGAGUUUGAGCCUUGUCCUGAUGAUUCUGACCCAGUGGGAGUGUGAAUUUUGGAGACUGGAUCCUUGCCUUCUGGCUGAUCCAUAUGUUGUGUCAGGUUGAGUAAUGUUGGGUCGGUAAAAGUGACUAAUUGGCCCGCUUGCAUUUCUGCAAGAGGGCGUGUGCGCUCCGCACCACACCAAUGGGAACAACAACACUGGCUUGGCCUGAAGUUGAAGAUUCCCGGUGUCUGUGACGCCCAACGUUUGGUGCGAUGCGGACCCAGUGGAGAGCGUGGUGAAACAGAAUACCCUGUCUGUACUAUGAGUUUUGAUGCAGAGUCUUUAACAGAUAAAGUCAAGUUAGGAUGUGUCGAGGAGGGAGGGGUGCAACUCAAUAUUUUGAAGGCGUUCCUAAUGUUUUGUACACUGUAUAUUAUAUUAUUACAACCAGGCAUCAGCUAAUUACAGCUUUUCAAAUAAAAUCUCACUUGUUAGGUUUCUAUCCAACUGGCGACAGAUUUUCAUGUGAAAAUUUUACAAUCCGUAUAAAAAAUAAGUGAGUGAUGACGUAGUGCACACAAAACGUACUGAAUAAAAAUCACAAACUAUUGUGUUAGAUAGGAAAUGUGCCUACUCUGGUCUUGGCACCUGUGACCUAGUCCACAUCUCCUAUAUACAUUGUGGGUAGGCUGUGCAGGUUGGCUAUCUACAUGAGAUUAUUAUGGAUCAGAGACAGAGUUUUUGGAUUUGUCAAACGGCAGUCACGCAUCGAUCCCCAUGUCACCAGAUUAAGAUCCUCGAUAUUUAUUGGAAAGCAGCAUCAAGCUUAUCAUCGUGCACUUCAUAACUUAUUUCAUCUGUAGCCUAAUGAACUGUGUGGUUUCCUGAGUUGUAGUGUCACACACUAUAUCAUCGCGUGACUCCAAAUGUACUUUGAUAUGGUUAUUAUAUCAAUAUUUGAUAAAGACAUUUCCACUACUAUUUACCACAUAAUACAUUUUACUGACACAAAAUCCCACCAUGCAGAACCAACAAAUUAUCUGUCAGCAUUUACAAAAUUACACCGAAACCUGUUUCCAUCACAGCUGUCGUGAUAAUUGUAUUUCAUACGAUAUGACUUCACUCAAAUAAAACUGGACGGAAAUGUGGUUACUAUGGUAAUAUUGCUACGUUUCACUUUAACCAUGCUAACAAUUUAAAAUGUCAGCUUAAAAUGGUGACAAAUGUUUCCCUACAAUCAGUGUCGUUAGGCAUAAAAUCAGCAUUUUUUUUAUGUAUUAAUUGCAUGGUGAUUCACAUUUUCGAUCAUUUAAAAACUACUACAUGAUAAAGUACAGUCAACAACAGGCACUUGGCCCUACAAACAUUGAUUAAUUCAAGACCACUUCACAUAAUGGCACUUUACCCUCAAGCCAUGUCCUGUCCACACACACACACACACACACACACAUCACCUGGAAACAAGUUACAUAUGGUGUACCCUGGUCCCAGAUCUGUUUGUGCGGUCUUGCCAACUCCUACGAUCGAUGUUUAGCUUGACAGUGACCAUAGGAGUUGGCAAGACAGCAUAAACAGAUCUGGGAUCAGGCUACAUAUGGAAUGAACAGAGAUAGAAUGUGACAUUGGUUGAACAAGUGAUCCUCAUCCAACUACAAUAUGUUGUACUAAGUGGCAUGGUCUUAUAUAGGCACAGAGAUACUGCUAUGGUUUGGACCAAAGAGUUGAGUUCCAUUUAAAUUGUGGUAAACUAAUCCAUCUGUUCCCAGAGUGGAUUCUAGGCUUUCCCAACAACCGUUUCAUUUUGGGGGAAGAGUUUUUUGGACAGAAAUGCCUGAAUGUGAGGCCAGAUCUUGUUGGUUUCCGUUCCUGAGAAUGUCUCCAACAUCCCUUUGCUCCUGUUGGUAGAAACAGAUAUUAGUACCUCAUGACAGUCAUCAUAAUAAACAUAAGCAGUAGUUUUUAAAUGGGUAGGUACUCCCUGAUUGUCUCCAGUAACAACACAUAUUUCCGCAUUCCAUUGCAAAAUGUUUUGCUACAGUCUGGUCUACUGAAUACAACCUAGUACUCAACUACAUAAUGCUUUCAAGGUUACCAACAUAGAUUCACUUUCUAACAAAGGGAAAGAUGUGAAUGAAUUCACUGUCUGAUCUGUCUGAGCCUGAAUCCUGCGUUACAGUCCCAAGCUAUUUCAGUUCUCAGACCGGCCCCUGUAGUAGGGUUAAUUCAGAGUUCUCUUCCCGUUGUCCAGUUACCAGUGAAAAAGAGCCCCAGAAGCCAUCUUAUAAAUAACUUGGAUGCUUUUAACAUCCUAUGUACACAGGAGCUCUUGACUAAUGUUUUCCUUCUUUAAUUGGCCACAGAAAUAGAUGUGAUAUGAAUCAAUCCUGACAUUCAGUCAUGCACAAUGUCUAAUUGAGAUUAAUGUCCAUUUGUUAUGUCCCAACUUUGAAAGGGCAGAUAUAAGCCUUAAAGCCUAUGAUGUAAGAAGAUAAACUGCAACAUUAUUACACAGUUACAGCUUACAUAAUAAUGAAUAUAAAAGGUAUAUAUGUGUGUGUGUGUGUGUGUGUGUGUGUGUGUGUGUGUGUGU